This 6068-nucleotide unclassified non-coding RNA is filed under the name Penaeus japonicus. RNAcentral's name for it is "mediator of DNA damage checkpoint protein 1-like, transcript variant X4". Lineage: Eukaryota; Metazoa; Arthropoda; Malacostraca; Decapoda; Penaeidae. The record is from RNAcentral.
GUAUAGGUUAGAAAAAAAAAAAGAAAAAAAAAUCCGUCCUCAGCUGGUUGAUACAAAAUGUCUGACCCAAGAUCCGUCCGCGGCGGAAAGGAGAAUGUGGAGAGCGUGGUAACGCCCCCUUUCCCUCCCCAGUUCUACCCGAUGCCCGGCUACCAGGGGCCCCCUUGGUUUCCCGGCCAGGUCCCCGCGGGUCCCCCUCCCCCAUGGCCCGCGUCAUGGAGCUCUGCCCCCGUGGGCUUCCCGGCGCCUCCCACGGCCUGGUCGUCCCCGCAGAGCAUGAUGCCCUCGAGCACGACCAGCACGACGGCGGCGAUCCCGUCCGACGAGUACACGGUGGACACCAUGCGACGCAUCUACAACGACGACGACGGGCGCGUCGAGAUCCAGCGGGUGAAGGUCCAGCGACGCCCUCCCGACGCGGGCGCCAUCGCGUAUCCCAGCGGCCCCGAGGCCAUGAGCGUCGUACCCGUGGGGAGCUUUCCCCUCAACGAGCGCCGCCCUCCGCCGAGGAAGAAGAAGCAGCUCCAGGCUCUGCAGGCGGCGCAGGGGCAGGGCUACCCUUGGUACCCCUACAUGCCGUGCAUGCCGUACCCCGUUCCCUACCCCUAUUAUUACGGCGGGUGCAUGUGGACCCCUGGCGCGCCGACGAGUCACAUGGGCAGCGUCCCCGCCUGGUCGGGCCAGGAGGAGAGUGAAAGGACGUCGUCGCGACAGGACUCCCUCCCGACCACCCUCGACUCCCAGCGCCUCGAGUCCCGCACCUCCGACCCCCUGCGAGGCUCCAUCUCCCCCGUCUCGCAGCGCUCGCCCUCGCCCGCCGCCGGCUCGCACGUCACGGACGCCCACAGCCUGGCGCCCUCGGACAGCGUGUCGAUGCGGGGAUACAAGCGCGAGUCGUCGCUGGAGCGGGCGCUCAUGUGCCCCACGCCGCCGCCGCGCACCAAGAGCAGGAGCUCGGAGAGGAAGUCAAGCACCGACGUCGGGAAAAUGCAGGAGUGGAUGGUCGACAUGCACAAGGCUAUUCUCGGCCCUAACGACGGGGCUUCAGACAGGGCCUCCUACGCGACCGCGCCGACGGACGUGGAGCCGUACAAAAGACUGCCGCCCAGGAGGAAGAAACACGCGGCGAGGCUCGCCAAUUUGAGCGGAAGGGGCUCCAUAGCCGACCAAAAGGAGCUGGAUGAUGCUCUUGAGAAACGUAGCAUUACGUCGAUCGGGUCAGACGACUCUUUGAAAUUAAGUUCAGAGCUUACUUACGCUUUUAGGAAGUUAGAACAAUCAGUGGAUGCAUUCAAGACAAAAGUUUCAAGCGAUUCCACCCCAGUCCACACCCCACAGCGGAUGCCUUCCCCGCCUCCCUUGCAUUCCAGCGGCGAUGACACGCCCACAGAAGCAAUGGAAGACGCGUUAGUAUCUCUCGACGUCACCGGCGCGGAUAAAGGUGUCACAGACGUCACCUCGGCAGAGGAACCAUCGUCUCCUCCUCCUUUAGAGACGAUCUCUCCGACUUUCUUCAACGAGGGACAGGCCGCACAGACGUCGAAGGAGGAAGGACAAACCGUUGCCAAAGCCGAGGAUAUUCCAUCAUCUUUAACCACUUCAGAGACGAGCAGUUCCCAGACCUCCGUGGCAACGACUUUACAGACCACAGACGUCAGCGCGGCCCAGCCAGGCGAGGCCGAACCAGCAAAGACAACACCCCCCGCAGCAUCUCCCGAGGCCAAGGAAACCCACCCAGCAUCACCACAGACCACAGAGGGAACGCCGGCCUCCCUCUCCACAGAGAAGCCAACAGAGGAAACCCAAACCAUCCCUAAAACAACAGAAACCACAUCCACCGCCACGCCAACAGAACAACAGACCCCAGCCCUCGAUAAAACGGCUCCCCCCCACCCUCCACUCCCCUCAGACGUCGAAGCCAAAGCGAAUGAAGCGGAAGAGGCUAGUGGUAGAGAAUCAAGAGCAAGUGAGAGCACUUUCUUCUCCAUCAGAGCUUCGGACGAUCAGCUGCUCGUAGACACAGACUCCACAGACAUCUUGCUGCCCACCACAGAUGCUACCACCGCAGAUGAGGGUGAGGAACACACAGAUUCCACGGUAGCGAGUCCUACGCUGGAGGAAGGCAACGAAGGAUACCAGUGGGUCCUGCAACAACCCGGGGAAACGCCAGAGCUCACCGGCGCCAAGGAAGAUGAACAGAAGAAUGCGUGGCGCGCUGAAGUGAGCCUGUGGAGGGCGCGUCUCGUCGUGUCCCUAUGUCGAGGACGAGGCUUAGAUCGCCAAGACUGGUCCACAUUCCACCUCCUGGUCCGCCACCCUCUCACGCUCGACCUCAAGCUCUCCCUCCUGCACGCGCCUCGACUCUGCGCCGCCAAUUCCACCGUCGGCGCGGCGCUAGUGAGAGUGGCACUCAUCCAUCUGGCACAGUACGGCGAGGCUUUGUUGCAGCCCGACUCCUCCAGGCAGACCGGCUGGAGGUCCAUCAAGGUGGAUCCCAACCAGUCUUGGGCUCCUGUCAAGGGCGCCAUAGAAAUCCUUCAGGCGUUAGGGUACAAGCAGCGAGAGGACGGCGUACUCCGGUACCCUCGACGUUCAACUACCGAGGUAUCGGUCCUGGCACGUCUCACGCUAGACAUGCUCGUCUUGGCAGAGGAACUUCGCCUCUACUUGACCGGGAUGCACCAGUACCCGACCAACAUCUCCGACCUGUUCUUCUCGGCCACCAGCCCCAUCACCCCCUCGCCGGACCCUCUGAUGCAGGAUAUGCCUCCAAGACCACAGUCCUCCGCCAGCUCGUACAGUUUCCUCUCGGCUCAGUCAAGUGCUUCUCUUGAUCGAAGGCCCGACAGCAGACUGUCCGUGACGGACGAGGAGACAGAGACUCUCCAGAUUUCCGUGCAGCACACCAAGGGUUCCACCAAGAAGGCGCGUAGGGAUUCUUCUUCUGAAGAGGAAGUGACCUUACGAGAAGACAGUAAGGAUGCGAAAGGAGACAGCACCGAAGCAGUGCAGGACGAACUUGGCGGUGAGAUGCCCUCGGAAGAAGCUCCGUUGCCCACGGAAGUCUUGCGGAAAAAGGAGGACAUACGGUCGGGCUCAGUGCUAUCCCUCCCCGUGAAUCCUAUAGACAGGUCCUCACUCAGUACGAUGACUAGUAUGCCGGAUCUACAGUCUCUUCGCUCCAGCACCGUUUCCCGAGACAGCCAACAUCGUCCUAACAGCAACAACUCCGCCGCCCCAGCUUCCACGCCGACAGGAGAGGCUCCGACAGGGAAUGACAACCCCGAAGACCAUAUUUACGAAGAAAUCGACGUGAUUCGGGCACAGGUUCAGGCGCUAAGAUCUGCGAGUGUCCCAGCUCACUCCCCGCCGCCUCCUCUGCCCCCAAAGAAGAAGGUGAGUUCCGGGGGAGAAGACGACUCAAACUUGAGCGUAACUUACCCCAGCAUGGAGUGGACGUCCGCCUCCACCCCAGGCUCCCUUAGAGGUGGCUCGACGGGCGCUCGAAGGAAGAAGAGGAGAGCGCCAAUGCCUCCCGAUUUCAUGCCUCCAGACUGGAGACCUUACCAGAACAGAGAUGUACAAAGUGCGAGCAGCCCAACCCAAGAUCGGCAGUUGCCUGAAAGCCUCGACGAAUCAAAAGAGAGUGAGGAAGAAAGGAAGAAAAAGGAAGAAUACAGAAGAUCUCUGAAUCCAUUCUACGAGGACAUUGACUCUGUUAAAGAGAAAGUCAAAGAAAUCAAAGCUAAAGAAGAAGAAAAGAAUCCAUUUGUAAAGGAGGAUGUUGCAGUAGCGGGAUACAUAGGGAAGAAUCCAUUCUAUGAAGACGUUGAACUUUUAAAGAAAGACACAAAUGAAACUGCUGAGACAACUAUAAAGAACAAGGACUAUGAUAAGCUUCAGAAUACACGGACGAGUGAAGAUGCCUCAUCCCUGAAACAGGACGGGAAGGUAUGUGGCAUGGGAUCUCUGGCAGAACUUCAGGACGACACUGUCUUGAGUAGACCAAAGAGGAAGGCGCCUCGUCCCCCACCCACGCCAGAUCCAACUUCUAUUUCAGUCGCAGAAAACACCUCAGCGACAAUCUCGAGUUCUGAAGUCACUGAAUCAACCGCAUCUACACAGCAAUCCCCAUCCGCUCCACAGCCUGCCACUUCUUCGCGGCCUCCAUCCGCCCCACAACGGCCGCCAACCCCACGCUCUUCAUCCAUUCCACGAACUGCUUCCACCCCUCAACCCUCCUCAACCGACCCGUCAACCCCACAGCAUCCUCCAACCCCCCAGCGCCCCCCAACUCCAAAGCGACCUGCGACGCCUCGAAGAGCUUCCACCCAAGAAGCUUCCGCCACUCCCGAUGUUCCCAAUCAAGAGGAACCGGUCAAGAACGCCGAUGCCGAUGACACCAGGCCGCCAAUACCCGUCAAGCUCCGAAAUGGAGAGAAAAAUAAUGCCAACACCUCCUCAAAGGCAGCUGCAUCCCAAAGUGCACCCCAAAGUAGUCCUCAGCCACAGCAAGACGUCAAAGAACCGGAAAGCCAAAAGGAACAGGAGAGUCGAGACAAAACCGAAGAGGCGAGGCAAGUAGUCUCAAGAGCCAUCAAGAACCAGCAACAACGCCUGCAGCUCCAGCACCCGAAGACACCACCUCCGCCGCCACCGGCAGCCUCUAAGCCGGCGUCGCCUCCUUCAGAAGCCAAAGCCCUUGAAGAGACGAAAAAAGAGCCUAAAAAUGACCAGUCGGCGACGACGCCAUCAAAAGCCUCGCUGGCCUUUCUGGAAGACAUUCCUUACAUGGAUGCAAAUGAAGUCAAAGAUGCCAAGUCGAAGACUUCGGAAGCCAAGGACCAGCAGACCUCCCAGUAUGAGAUCCCAGAGCCCCCUGGCAAAGUCGUCGUGCCCGCCCAACUCUCCCCGACUGUCAUGAGGCAAACUGCCCUUCUGCUGCGAGGAUCGCGUAUGGUUCCCUUCAUUGAUGAGUCUGACCUCCCCCCCGACUGCCCCCCACCACCUCCGCCAGGACCUCCACCUGAUUCGCCACCGACGUCACCCCCUGAAACACCCCAUACCUCUCCUCCUGAGACCCCCCACACCUCCCCUCCCGAGACUCCCCAGGGGUCACCCGUUCCAUCCCGUGUUACCAUUUCCCUCCCCGGCGCCGUUACCGCAGCCGCCCCCAACCCCGGAGUGAAGAAAACGGAGUCAGACAAACCGCCGGAGACCAGGCAGCUCGGUGACACAGCAGACGCGUCACAGAAAGCAGAAGACAAAGACCAGCCCCCUGCACUACCCCCCAAAACAUCACCAUCAAGUACGUCACCGAAGACGAAGACCACCGAAAGUAGACAAACGACGGAACAAACAACGCCACAAAGAAAGCCCUCCGACGACAAGCCACCAAAGGCGACGCGUCCCCAAGACUCAACCGGAGCAGAGCAACCAAAGAAAGAACACGAACCGGCAUCCAGCCAGCCUUCCGUUCGAAGCUCGGUAUCCGAAGACAGGUACGAGAUCCCGGACACUUCGAAGCCCCUCCCAGCGAGCCCAGAGCCAAGCCAAGCCGCCAAGACCGACUCGGCAGACGACCCAAAGGGCACGACUCAAAGCCCGCCAAAGGAUCAGCCUAGCGAGCCUUACGUUCCCACUUCGGAAUCUGACAAGUAUGAGAUUCCUGAGGUGGCGAAGGAGGCCGUGGUGGAGGAGCGUUAUGAAAUUCCUGAGGUCGUCAAGGAGACGGCGGCUAACGGUGGAGCCAGCAGUGUGAAAACGGGCUCUAAUUCUUGCAUUCUCCUCUGAUUCCUCUUUAUCAAGAUGUAGCCCAUUUGGCAGACGGGGCGCCGUAGACAAUAGUAUUGAUGCAACAAUUAGAAGGUUUUUCGCAGAUGUGUCUUUAGCUAAGGGUGUCCCCUGAUUCACUUCAUAUUGAGAAAUUCUCAGCCCCGCUCCUUCCUGGGCCCCAUCGUGGCGUCCGGCCGCAGCAACCUGGAGGCGGUGUUCGGCCCCCCCAAGCCUCCCCGACGCCGCCGCAACCACCACUCCCCCCCGCCCCCGCGACCCCCAAAAUCGAGCUC